UCAGCCGCCGCGGUAACACCGGCAGCCCAAGUGGUAGUCAUGUUUAGUGGGUCUAAAGCGUCCGUAGCCGGCUAUGUAAGUUCCUCGGGAAAUUUGAUCGCUUAACGAUCAAGCUACCGGGGGAUACUACCUGGCUUGGGACCGGGAGAGGUUAGAGGUACUUCAAGGGUAGGGGUGAAAUCCGUUAAUCCUUGGGGGACCACCGGUAGCGAAGGCGUCUGACCAGACCGGAUCCGACGGUGAGGGACGAAGGCUAGGGGAGCGAACCGGAUUAGAUACCCGGGUAGUCCUAGCUGUAAACGAUGCGGGCCAGGUGUUGCAUUACUGCGAGUGAUGCCAGUGCCGAAGGGAAGCCGUUAAGCCCGCCAUCUGGGGAGUACGGUCGCAAGGCUGAAACUUAAAGGAAUUGGCGGGGGAGCACA
RNAcentral lists this ribosomal RNA (422 nucleotides) under uncultured archaeon. Its description in RNAcentral is "bacterial SSU rRNA". It matches the Rfam family "Archaeal small subunit ribosomal RNA", at positions 458 to 880 of the family's 1478-position model. The record is from RNAcentral.